AAAUAGCCCGGAUUGCAACGGCAUCCUUUUUAUUUCGUUUGCAAAACGAAAUAAAAAGAUAGAGUGGAAAGCCGGAUUGGCU
Molecule: small RNA, 82 nt
Filed under: Flavobacterium sp. 102
Lineage: Bacteria; Pseudomonadati; Bacteroidota; Flavobacteriia; Flavobacteriales; Flavobacteriaceae
Description: Flavo-1 RNA
Rfam family: Flavo-1 RNA
Source: RNAcentral